UACAGAGGGUGCGAGCGUUAAUCGGAAUUACUGGGCGUAAAGCGUGCGUAGACGGUUAUCUAAGUCAGAUGUGAAAGCCCCGGGCUCAACCUGGGAAUUGCAUUUGAGACUGAAUAGCUAGGGUGCGGUAGAGGGAAGCGGAAUUUCCGGUGUAGCGGUGAAAUGCGUAGAUAUCGGAAGGAACAUCAGUGGCGAAAGCGGCUUCCUGGACCAGCACCGACGUUCAGGCACGAAAGCGUGGGAAGCAAACAGG
RNAcentral lists this ribosomal RNA (253 nucleotides) under uncultured bacterium. RNAcentral's name for it is "partial 16S ribosomal RNA". It matches the Rfam family "Bacterial small subunit ribosomal RNA", at positions 524 to 776 of the family's 1533-position model. The record is from RNAcentral.